RNAcentral lists this long non-coding RNA (1914 nucleotides) under Homo sapiens (human). RNAcentral describes it as "HSALNT0137045". The record is from RNAcentral. Lineage: Eukaryota; Metazoa; Chordata; Mammalia; Primates; Hominidae.
GUAACUGACUUUGCCAUUCAUUCAUGGGUUUCUUGUUGAGCCUAAAGGGAGUUUGGUUGUAAAUUUGAUUCUCCCUUUUCUCAGUUCCCUAAGCUCUCACUGUAGCACAUGUUUUGAGUUUAAGUAGGGCUUACCUUUCUUACUUUAAGAAAUGAACUUCUGUUUGUUUUAUAGGCGGGUGAACUCCACCCUGGAAAGACCUCUGUUGGUGAGCUAUAGGUGCCUGACUGGUCCAGGAAAUUCAAAUUAUUAGGAUGUGGUGAAUUCUCUGUCUUUGAUACUUUGGGAACAUGGGUUAGAAACUGCUCAGUAAAUAUUCUUAAGAAAAUGGUACUUUUGAGACCCCUGUCACCUUUUAUUUCAGUAUAUCUUCAUUUGGGAAGUUUUCGGUUUACAGAAGAAUUGAAUGGAAAGUACCGAAAGUUCCCAUAUGCCCUCUUCCCCUUCUCCCACCCACCAUUUCCAGUUUCCCCUAUUAUUAACAUCUUGCAUUAGUAUGGUACGUUUGUUACAACUGAUGGAAAAUAUUGAUAUAUUAUCAUGAACUAAAGUCUAUAGUUUACAUUAGGGUUCAUUUGUUGUGUUUUAAAUACUUGUAUGAUGACAUGUAUUUAUCAUGACGUAUCAUACAGAAUAGUUUCAUUGUCCGAAACCUUCCUUGUGCUCUGCCUAAUUCACCUUCCCUCCAUCCCCACAAACUCCUGGCAAUGACUGGUGUUUUUACUGUCUGAAGUUGUGCCUUUUCUAAAAUGUCGUGUAGUUGGAAUCAUAUAGUAUGUAGCCUUUGCAGAUUGUCUUCUUUCACUUAGCAGUAUGCAUUUAGGAUUCCUCCAUAUCUUUUAUGGCUUGAUAGCUCAUUUGUUUUUAAUGCUGAAUAAUAUUCUGUUGUCUGGAUGUACUACAGUUUAUUUAUCACUUCACCUAUUGAAGGACAUCUUGGUUGCUUCCAAAUUGUGGCAAUUAUGAGCAAGGCUGCUAUAAACAUCUGUAUGCAGGGUUUUGUGUGGACAUAAGUUUUCAAUUUAUUUGGGUAGAUACCAAGUAGCAUGAUUGCUGGAUUAUAUGGGAAGAGUGCAUUUAGUUUUGUAAGCAACUACCAAACUGUCUUCCAGAGUGGCUGUACCGUUUCACAUUCCCACACUUACCAAUUUCUGAGCACCUACCCUGUGCCAAAUGACCCUAUGUUGGGCAACAGAGUAGUGAACCAGGGCACACGAUGUUAUUCUAGAAAGAGUUAAGAUACCGUGAACUUGUCCAAGUUACAGACACACUAAAAUUAGGGAGUAGUUUGCUGUUUAGAAUUUAUGCUUUAUAGUACAGAUCACAUAAUUAUGCUUGAUGAGAAAUGGAUAAAAUAAUAAAAAUUUAAAUUACUGUAAAAGAUUGUAUUUAUUCUAGUGAUUAGGUAGUUCUGUGGAAUUAUUCUGCUGGACAUGUAGACAUUGAGUUCUGGUACCAACUCUCUAGAUUCACAUGGGGGAAAUAAAAAACUAUUGGAACAAAACUUGUCUUUGUACCUUGGGAAUUAGUGAUUUUUGUGGGUUUUUAAACUUGCUCAGUAUAAUUAUUACUUUACAAAUGUAAUUAUGAGGUAAAUAAUUUUUAUGUUACAGAAAAAAGGCACGGCACAAAUACAACAUUACACACACACACACACACACACACACACACCCCUUUGACAUACUUUGGAGCUCUGCCUGAGAGUUGGACAGUUGCCCUGGGGUGGCAGCCUGAUUCACUCACCUCUGCUCCGCUUGGGCUCUGCCUCUAAUGGACCUGAAUGGAGAAUGAUCGUCUAACCAACAAUGGUGAUAGGCUCUCAAUCUUCAUCAGCACAACCACAGGAGACCUGGAAGCUUCUACAAAUAUUCUCACAUGCCAGCUGAAUUUAGAAGACUUUUGACUCAGAAUAAG